RNAcentral lists this ribosomal RNA (876 nucleotides) under uncultured archaeon. RNAcentral's name for it is "bacterial SSU rRNA". It matches the Rfam family "Archaeal small subunit ribosomal RNA", at positions 21 to 903 of the family's 1478-position model. The record is from RNAcentral.
CCUGACUGCUAUCGGAUUGAUACUAAGCCAUGCUAGUCUUUGUAGUAAUACAAGGCAUACGGCUCAGUAACGCGUAGUCAACCUACCCUAUGGACGGGGAUAAUCUCGGGAAACUGAGCAUAAUACCCGGCAGACCACUUAUCCUGGAAUGGUUAGUGGUUAAAAUGAUUCGUCGCCAUAGGAUGGGACUGCGGCCUAUCAGCUUGUUGGUGAGGUAAUGGCCCACCAAGGCGAUUACAGGUACGGGCUCUGAGAGGAGAGGCCCGGAGAUGGGUACUGAGACAAGGACCCAGGCCCUAUGGGGCGCAGCAGGCGAGAAAACUUUGCAAUGUGCGAAAGCACGACAAGGUUAAUCCGAGUGAUUUCUGCUAAAGGAAUCUUUUGUUAGUUCUAAAAAUACUAGUGAAUAAGGGGUGGGCAAGUUCUGGUGUCAGCCGCCGCGGUAAAACCAGCACCUCAAGUGGUCAGGAGGAUUAUUGGGCCUAAAGCAUCCGUAGCCUGUUCUAUAAGUUUGCGGUUAAAUCUAUACGCUCAACGUAUAGGCUGCCGUAAAUACUGUAGAACUAGGGAGUGGGAGAGGUAGACGGUACUCGAUAGGAAGGGGUAAAAUCCUUUGAUCUAUUGAUGACCACCUGUGGCGAAGGCGGUCUACCAGAACACGUUCGACGGUGAGGGAUGAAAGCUGGGGGAGCAAACCGGAUUAGAUACCCGGGUAGUCCCAGCUGUAAACGAUGCAGACUCGAUGAUGCAAUGGCAUAGAGCUAUUGCAGUAUCGCAGGGAAGCCGUUAAGUCUGCCGCCUGGGAAGUACGUACGCAAGUAUGAAACUUAAAGGAAUUGGCGGGGGAGCACCACCAAGGGGUGAAGCCUGCGGUUC